Molecule: long non-coding RNA, 3032 nt
Filed under: Malus domestica (apple)
Lineage: Eukaryota; Viridiplantae; Streptophyta; Magnoliopsida; Rosales; Rosaceae
Description: long non-coding RNA (MDOM_LNC010340)
Source: RNAcentral
CGACGGCUUGAUGGUGUUGUCGGUGAUGUGCAAAGACUCAGGAGAGACAUGAGGGAGAAGUGAGGGAGAAGAUAGAUAUCCAAAUUGUGGGAGAGGAAUUACCACUUGGCAAGAGAAGAGUGGAGAGUUGUGAGUUGUGGGCCCCACCGUCAUUAAUAUAAUUAAAAUAACAAAAUGUCCCUUUUUAAAAAAUAUUAAAAUAAUAAUAUGAUAGUAUAAAAGUUACCCUAUCAUUAGCUUUUUCCAAAUCUAUGAAGACCAUGUGUAAAUCUUUUUUUUUUAUCUCUAUAUCUUUCCAUCAAUCUUUGUAAGAGAUAGAUUGCCUCCAUAGUUGAGCGCCCUGGCAUGAACCUGAAUUGGUUGUCCGAAACCUGUGUCUCUUGCCUCAAUCUAUGCUCAAUGACUCUCUCCCAUAAAAGUUGAAUAAAUAUAUAAACUAUAAAAUAAUAAUUUUUUACGAAAGUAUAUUUCAGAUUCAUAGUUCCGUAAAAUUUUCUUCGUAACUUCGAAUUCGAUUCCGCUUGUGACUACAUGUUCGUACCAUUGAGUACUUUGAGAAUACGGUAAAAUAAUAGCUCAUACGCAUCAUGAAAAGAUGGUCAACGAAAGUUGGCAAACCAUGCCUUAGUGGUAGUUUACUGUCGACGAAGAUUUCUGGCAAAUACUGUUAUCGAAGACUAAUUCCGAUGGUAUAGUUCGUAUCAUAAUUUUACUAUACUUAUGCUCUGACAUAAUGUGUGAAAUGAGUUCAUUCCCGCUCACAAGUGCACUCUUUCAUUUAGGCGCUUUAGAUUUAAAUUUACUCACAUUUUCCACAUCACAACACUUUAUAGCUUCGUCACUCUCCUGGUGUCGGGCAAAACAUCCCAAUUCAGAGUCAAGGUGGACAUUUCGGAUCGGGGUGUGUCAAAAUGAUCAGUAGCUCUAUUUGCUCUCUAUAAAUAUGGCAAAUUUUGCAUUGCCAAUUUUUUCAAGAGGCAUAAAAUAUCCCUCGUCUUGCAAAAGUUAACUAGUUUAGUUUAUAAUUCUGUACGAGUUUUUUUUAUAUUUAUGUCUUAGGGUUUUCUUGUUGGAUAAAAAUUUGUAUUCUUUAAUUGCUCAUUAUGAUUAGAGUUUGCUAUAAGUUCUAUUUAUAAGAUUGUAUAUUAAUUAUUUUGCCGAAUACUCCGCUUAACAUAUGUUUAUACCCAUAUUUGACGCUUCAUGUAUGACAUGAUUUUCAUCUUAAAUUGAGUCAUAAUAACUAAGUUAAUUAUAAAAUUAAAGGAGGAAAUUGAUUAAGGAUUUUUAACAUUGAAGACAAACGCAUCAUUAUUGUCUUGGGAGGAUUAUAUUUUGAAAUUUUUAAUGGCUGAAAGAAAUCAAAGCUCAAGAGGCAGCAAGGGGAAGACAUCAAGAAUGGAUACUCUCGAUUACCAUAAAUAAGACCCUCUAGCUGAUUGUUAGAGGUCCUCGAGCAACACAUUCAACUUAUCCUUUUAGUUUAUGUGCACCCCAAGUGCUUUUAUCUUAUUUUUCUAUUCAAAAUGUAACUCUAUAUGGCUUUCUAAUUCAAAUUAGUUUUCAAUUUCAGGAAAUUAUUUUCUCGCAUUUAGAGUAAUUUUUAUUUUAUUGCAAUUUACUUUCAUACAAUUUAUUUUAUAGAAAAUUACUUAUCAAUUUGAUCCAUUCGACAAGUUUGUUUAGGUUGAUGCGAUUCGCCUCCUCAUACAUUUCAUCUCGCCGUAUCAAUUGCCAAAUUCACCUCCACUCAUCCAUUCACUUAUCAUGCCACGCCUAGAUCUCGAGAUACGUCCAGGAUCGGCACGUGAUGUCACCAAGUACCUAUAUAUCUACAUGCCUCGCCUUCAAAACAAGACCAAAAACACAAUUAAAUGGUUCAAUAGCGCAUUAACUUUUCUUUUAUUUCAUGGCUGCAUAUAACCUCUACGUUAGACUGCUUACGUACCCUAAUAUGACCUCAAGCCAUUCGUAAUUCAUCUUUCUUUUAAGCUCAAAACUCUCAAGGCACUAAUUGGCAAGAACAUAAAAUUCUAGAAUCUCUCAAUAAACGAGCAUGUCUCACAAGAUUUCAGUCUACAUUACGAAACCAUAUGCUAACCACGAUUGUCGUUUUGUCAUUUAACUAUAUCACACUAAUUCCCAACGCAAUUCCACAAUCAUAAUAAAUAAUCCAUUCAACGACUUAAUGAUGCACAAUAUUAACAUUUAAUUACGUUAAUCAACCAACAAGAUCAAGUAUCGAUUCACGAAAUUUAAUAAAGAAAAUCUCUCUAAUUCCAAGUAAUAACAUUGCAAAUACAAGUGUCUUUUCUAAGAAAUUCAUAUUCACAAGAAUUUAAGGUUCCAGACUAGAUCAGUGGAACAUAAUAAAAAUUGGGAUUUUGUACCACUCAAUGGAAACCAACUCGGGUUUAGGUAGAGAGUGAAGAGGAAGUGGCAUGGUGAUGAUCGUAGUUGGUGGCUUGGUGAGUUUUGCCAGAAAAAUCAAUGAAUUCACAUCGGAAAUUCACGUAGGGACUGGGUCAGAAAACAGGUAUUGGGGGAGGGGGACAAGAAUUGAGAUUCCAAACCACUCAACGAAAACCAACUAGGAAGUAGUCGCCCAUCAUGGAUUUAUCAAGCAUGACCACUCCAUACAAUGCUAGAUAGGCAACGUCAUCCAUCGUGGAUUAACCAAGUGUGGCCUUUAAAAUAUGUAUGGUCCAUUAUUGUGGAUUAACCAAGCAAGACCAUGUCCUUCAAUACUAGGUAGUGAUCACCCAUCGCGGAUAUACCAAGCAUGACCACUUCUAGAAUGUGUGUGAUCCCCCAUCGCGAAUAUACUAAGAACCAUAAGCAUAGUCUAAUAAGGUAGGCAGUGAUCACCCAAUGCAGAUAUACCAAGCAGAACCAAAACCUAUAGUACUAGGUAAUGAUCAUCCAUUUGUUGGAAAUAUGCCCUGAAAGUCAAUCUUUGGAAGAAACCUUUCAGGACAAAUGAAUGGAUGUAUAGAUGAUUCUUAUACAUCAAAUGGCAAAGAUACUAAUUA